AGGUACCAAAAGUUUGUCUUCACUCAGCUAGUUCAAGUGAGAUGGGAAAUCAUGAAAGAUCAUUCAGAAGCGCGCUGAAACGAGCAAAACAAGCUUUGCAUGAUUGCCGGUAAACAGUUUGGUUACGAUGGUUCAUGGGAAUUGACAUCACUUCUGUCAAAUUUAUAGAGUUUUAUUCAAAAUGGUGCUAUAAAACCAACUUUUUAGAGUCUAUUAGAUUAUCUCAAUGACUGUAUAUUUCAUGGUUUGAAAAUACUGUUAAGGAUUUUUGUUUUAUUGGUAUCAAACAUCUUAAAUA
Long non-coding RNA from Lactuca sativa (garden lettuce), 298 nucleotides. RefSeq lists it as uncharacterized. The record is from RefSeq and is a predicted model, not a curated record. NCBI's taxonomy places the organism in Eukaryota, Viridiplantae, Streptophyta, Magnoliopsida, Asterales, Asteraceae.